Molecule: transfer RNA, 71 nt
Filed under: Marmota monax (woodchuck)
Lineage: Eukaryota; Metazoa; Chordata; Mammalia; Rodentia; Sciuridae
Description: tRNA.Ala
Source: RNAcentral
GGGGUUGUGGCUCAGUGGUAGAGUGCUCAUUUAGCAUGUGCGAGGCCCUGGGUUUGAUCCUCAGCACCACA